GAAAACAGAGGAAAUUCAUCUCUCCUCUGUCAAAAGCAAUGGAUCGCUUUCCAGAAGCAAUCAAACUGUGCUACAGUACCCAGGUGAUAAAAUGGUGAUGCAGUGGUUAUACAGGAGUGAUACAAAAUGAUGAUUGUACUCUUUCCUAGUAUUCGAUUUAUAUCUUACCUCUGUGAUUGUGUUAAAUAAGUAUUCUAUAUGUACUGGAUUAUAAACCUCCAAUUCCUCGUGGGAACGAUCUCGUAUUU
This 248-nucleotide long non-coding RNA is filed under the name Prunus persica (peach). RNAcentral describes it as "long non-coding RNA (PPER_LNC006386)". Lineage: Eukaryota; Viridiplantae; Streptophyta; Magnoliopsida; Rosales; Rosaceae. The record is from RNAcentral.